Molecule: transfer RNA, 109 nt
Filed under: Rhodocyclales bacterium
Lineage: Bacteria; Pseudomonadati; Pseudomonadota; Betaproteobacteria; Rhodocyclales
Description: tRNA-Phe
Rfam family: tRNA
About the family: Transfer RNA (tRNA) molecules are approximately 80 nucleotides in length. Their secondary structure includes four short double-helical elements and three loops (D, anti-codon, and T loops).
Source: RNAcentral
GGCCAGGUAGCUCAUUUGGUAGAGCAGCGGAUUGAAAAUCCGCGUGUCGACGUAGAGCAGCGGAUUGAAAAUCCGCGUGUCGACGGUUCGAUUCCGCCCCUGGCCACCA